AGGUAGGGUGGCCGAGUAGGCGGCGAGUUGUAGCCUCGUGUACGGGUGUCAAGCCCCCCGACCAG
This 65-nucleotide transfer RNA is filed under the name Cyrtodactylus payacola. RNAcentral describes it as "tRNA-Tyr". The record is from RNAcentral. Lineage: Eukaryota; Metazoa; Chordata; Lepidosauria; Squamata; Gekkonidae.